CUGCUUUAAUAAUUUGUUCUUCUGGUCACUAGAGAUCGAUUGUGUUUUCGCAUAUAUUACAAAGCUAUAGAUUUGAGUUAGAUUUUUUCAUAUUGACAAUAAACUUAGAUGUCAAUGUAUAAUGACUUUUAGAAGUUAACACAGAUCAUUGAAGAAGAUAUCAAAAAAUUUCAUGUUCACUCCCAUUUUCUCCCUAUCCUGGAGGAGAAAUCCCAUCACAAGAAGAAAUAUGCCAAGGUUGUGUCAAACUUACCAUUCAAUGUCAGCACUGAAGUUGUCAAACAAAUCCUCCCAAUGGGGGAUGUUUUCUCUGUCAUGGUGCUUAUGCUUCAGGAUGAAACAGCGCUACGCCUUGCAAACGCUGCAAUACAAACACCU
Long non-coding RNA from Lolium rigidum, 378 nucleotides. RefSeq lists it as uncharacterized. The transcript has 3 exons. Lineage: Eukaryota; Viridiplantae; Streptophyta; Magnoliopsida; Poales; Poaceae. The record is from RefSeq and is a predicted model, not a curated record.